GUCAGUCGAGUGCUUGCACUUCGCUGACGAGUGGCGGACGGGUGAGUAAUACUUAGGGAUCUGCCUUCGGGAGGGGGAUAACCAUUGGAAACGAUGGCUAAUACCGCAUAACGUCUACGGACCAAAGGGGGCUUCGGCUCUCACCUGAAGAGGAACCUAGGCGAGAUUAGCUUGUUGGUGAGGUAAAGGCUCACCAAGGCGACGAUCUCUAGCUGUUCUGAGAGGAAGAUCAGCCACACUGGGACUGAGACGCGGCCCAGACUCCUACGGGAGGCAGCAGUGGGGAAUAUUGCACAAUGGGGGAAACCCUGAUGCAGCCAUGCCGCGUGUGUGAAGAAGGCCUUCGGGUUGUAAAGCACUUUCAGUCGUGAGGAAAGGUUAGUAGUUAAUACCUGCUAGCUGUGACGUUAGCGACAGAAGAAGCACCGGCUAACUCCGUGCCAGCAGCCGCGGUAAUACGGAGGGUGCGAGCGUUAAUCGGAAUUACUGGGCGUAAAGCGCACGCAGGCGGUUUGUCAAGCUAGAGGUGAAAGCCCCGCGCUCAACGUGGGAAUUGCCUUUAGAACUGGCAGACUAGAGUCUUGGAGAGGGGAGUGGAAUUCCAGGUGUAGCGGUGAAAUGCGUAGAGAUCUGGAGGAACAUCAGUGGCG
This 650-nucleotide ribosomal RNA is filed under the name uncultured bacterium. RNAcentral describes it as "bacterial SSU rRNA". It matches the Rfam family "Bacterial small subunit ribosomal RNA", at positions 66 to 717 of the family's 1533-position model. The record is from RNAcentral.